GUGAGGAAUAUUGGUCAAUGGGCGAAAGCCUGAACCAGCCAUCCCGCGUGCAGGAAGACGGCCCUAUGGGUUGUAAACUGCUUUUCCAGGAGGAGAAACUCUCGUACGUGAUACGGGAUUGACGGUACCCUGGGAAUAAGCAUCGGCUAACUCCGUGCCAGCAGCCGCGGUAAUACGGAGGAUGCGAGCGUUAUCCGGAUUCAUUGGGUUUAAAGGGUGCGUAGGCGGACUAUUAAGUCAGUGGUGAAAUCCUGCAGCUUAACUGCAGAACUGCCGUUGAUACUGAUAGUCUUGAGUUUGGUUAAGGUAGGCGGAAUGUGUAAUGUAGCGGUGAAAUGCUUAGAUAUUACACAGAACACCGAUUGCGUAGGCAGCUUACUGAGCCGACACUGACGCUGAGGCACGAAAGCGUGGGGAUCGAACAGGAUUAGA
RNAcentral lists this ribosomal RNA (432 nucleotides) under uncultured bacterium. RNAcentral describes it as "bacterial SSU rRNA". It matches the Rfam family "Bacterial small subunit ribosomal RNA", at positions 354 to 782 of the family's 1533-position model. The record is from RNAcentral.